This 484-nucleotide ribosomal RNA is filed under the name uncultured bacterium. RNAcentral describes it as "partial 16S ribosomal RNA". It matches the Rfam family "Bacterial small subunit ribosomal RNA", at positions 28 to 507 of the family's 1533-position model. The record is from RNAcentral.
AUUGAACGCUGGCGGCAUGCUUUACACAUGCAAGUCGAACGGCAGCGCGGGCUUCUGCCUGGCGGCGAGUGGCGAACGGGUGAGUAAUGCAUCGGAACGUGCCCAGUAGUUGGGGAUAGCCCGGCGAAAGCCGGAUUAAUACCGCAUACGACCUGAGGGUGAAAGCGGGGGACCGAAAGGCCUCGCGCUAUUUGCGCUGCCGAUGUCGGAUUAGCUAGUUGGUGGGGUAAAGGCUUACCAAGGCGACGAUCCGUAGCUGGUCUGAGAGGACGACCAGCCACACUGGGACUGAGACACGGCCCAGACUCCUACGGGAGGCAGCAGUGGGGAAUUUUGGACAAUGGGGGCAACCCUGAUCCAGCCAUGCCGCGUGCGGGAAGAAGGCCUUCGGGUUGUAAACCGCUUUUGUUCGGGAAGAAAUCCUCUGGGCUAAUACCCCGGGGGGAUGACGGUACCGGAAGAAUAAGCACCGGCUAACUACGUG